This is a long non-coding RNA of Equus caballus (horse), 2372 nucleotides long. Lineage: Eukaryota; Metazoa; Chordata; Mammalia; Perissodactyla; Equidae. The record is from Ensembl.
CUUCUACACACCUAUUAGAACUGAUAAAUGCAGGAAACUGGAGCCCGGUUCCGGUGUAUCUGACAGUUGGUUCCAUGGUGUCUGGCAGGUGGUUCCUGUGUGUCUGGCAUAUGGUUCUGGUACAUUCGAAAGGUGGUUUCAGUGUAUCUGGUACUUGGUUCUGGGAUAUCCAACAGGUGGUUCCAAAGUGUGUGGCAGGUGGUUCCUGUGUGUCUGGCAUGUGGUUCUGGUAGGUUCGGAAGAUGGUUCCAGCCUGUCCGUUAGGUGCUUCCAGCAUGUCUGGAAGUUGGUUCUGGCGUGUCAGACUCAUGUUUCCAGUGUGUCCGGUGGGUGCUUACGGUGAGUCUGGUGGGUCAUUAUGGGAUGUCUGUGUGGUGGUUCCAGAGUGUUCGGCGGGUGCUUUUGGCAUGCCUGACGGGUUUUUCCAGCAUCUAAGGUGCCUGGUUCGAGCAUAUCCAGCAGGUGAGUUCUUUCUCAGCUUCCUAAGGAGCUGGAAGCAAGACAGUUUGUGGCUUGUCUCCCCUUGAGGGAUGGAGGCAGUGCUUUGUGCAGUCCACCUCUCGAGCAAUAUAGGGCAUGGUUGAGAGCAAAUGGGCCUUUCUGACAUAGGGUCUUUCUGACACUCUCUCCACGAGUGCACAAGGGCGGUUGGUUAAAAGUCUCUUGUCUCUAUCCUCCUAAGCUUGUGGAAUCACAAUCAUAUGGGCCUUGGCCCCAUUGCUUAAGGGGAAGAUGUAGCCAUUACCCCUGAGCCGGGUUGGCAAGAGGGAAAUGUGGCAGAAGCAGAAGUUCUAAAGUAGCGAGUUAAGGGCUGGGAGGAAAUGGCGUUCAACUGCCUGUGUAUGAGAGGUUCCCAGUAUGCUGUAAGAGCACUGUGGAAAGCGACUUCUUUCUCAGCUUCCUAAAGAGCUGGAAGCAAGAUGGUUCGUGUCUUGUCUCCCCUUGAGGGAUGGAGGCAGUGCUUUGUGCAUUCCACCUCUAGAGCAAUGUAGGGCACGGCUGAGAGCAAAGGGGUUUUCUUCCAUAGGUGCUUUCUGAAACUCUCUCCUCCAGUGCACAAGGGCGGUUGGUUAAAAGCCUAUUGUCUCUCUCCUCCUAAGCAUGUGGAAGCACAAUCAUUCGGGACUCAGCCUCUUUGCUUAAGGAGAAGAUGUAGGCAUUUUGUCUGAGCCGGGUUGGCAAGAUUGAAAUGCCCCAAAAGCAGAAGUUCUAAAGCAAUGAGUUAAGGGCUCCAAAUAAACAGCAUUUCAGGUGCCUUUGUAUGAGAUGUUCAAGGUACACUAUAAGAACAGUGUGGAAAGUGAGUUCUUUCUCAGCUUCCUAAAGAGCUGGAAGCAAGAUGGAUUAUUGCUCAUCUCCCCUUGAGGGUUGGAGGCAGUGUUUUGUGCCUUGCAGUUUUAGGGCAAUGUAGGACUCUGCUGAGCAAACUUGGCCUUUCUUCCAUAGCUGAUUUCUGAACACUCUCUCCACCCAUGCACAAGGGCGGCAUGAGAGGUUGCCGGUAUGCUGUAAGAGCACUGUGGAAAGUGAGAUUUUUCUUAACUUCCAAAGAGUGGUUGGUUAAAAUACUAUUGUCUCUCUCCUCCUAAGCAGGUGGAAGGACAAUCAUUCAUGCCUCAGCCGAAUGAUUUGGGUGAGGUCUCGUGUGACCCACCUGCCUUAAAUGCUGGAACCAACUGCUGGACACUUCAGAAGCAUCAUCUGGAAACAGUGGAACCACCCACCGCAGAUGUGAGAAUCAGGUCCAAAAUGUGCCAGAGCACCUGCAGGACACACCAGAACCACCUGACUCAAACGCCAAAAUCACCUGCCAGAUACACAAGAACCACUUGAUGGACACUCCAGAUUCACAUGACGCGCAUGAAAGACCCAUCUCUCAGAGUGACAGAACCAUGUGCUGGAAACGCCGGAACCACAUCACUGACAGACAUGAACCACCUGCUGGACACGCCUGAAUCAUCUGCUUCACUCACCAGAACCACCUUCUGGACAAGCCAAAAUCACCUGCUGGAUACACUGGAACCAGGCCCCUUAGAAGCCGGAAAAAGCCAACAGACAUGCCAGAAGCACCUGCCGCACACUCUGAAACCACGAUACAGACAUGCCUGAAUGACGCACCAUACACACCAGAAGCACCCACCAGACACGCCAGAACCACCUGGAACCACCCACCGGACACACUGUAACCAUGACACUGACAUGCCAGAACAACCUUGCAGACAUGCCAGAAGCACCCAAAGGACAUGCUGGAACCAUCUUCCGAACAUACCAGAACCACAUGCUAGACACACAGGAACCACCUGCCAGACACUUUGCAACCACCUGUUGGAUAUGCCGAGACAACGUACCAGAUACACUGAAACCACCUCCCG